UGAGUGAAGAGGAGUGUGUGGAACGGGGUGAUGCAGAUCCAUGAGCUCCCAGCUGAGGAGGUGACAUUCCUUUUCCUCGCCGAGGCUGAGUUUGCUGCGGGCUCCGGGUGUGAACUGCAGGGGAAUUCCGCAGCUGGGGAGUUCGGGGAUGCCGCUAGAGGGGGAGCUGACAAUGGCUGUGUGUUCCCUGCCGCAGGGAAAACGCGCUGCUCCGGGCAGGGAGCUGGGCGAGCUUGCGGGCGCUUUUAACGACCCACAGAUGGAGGGGGGAAAGUGAUUUUUAAAUUUGUUUUUCUUUUGACUAGAGGUAAGAAAGAGAAAGAUGAGUGCUGCCCUCACCUCCUGCUCUCCAUCUCCCGGGCUUGCUGGGAGCAAAGGGAGAGAGCGAGAAGGGGAGAAGGACCACUGAGCCCUGGCUGCAGGGCGCUGAAGGAAGCUCCCCUGGAGGACCCCAUGAGCACUCCUGCCCCAGGAAGCCCCAGCUCCACUCGUGGGCAUCUUCCGUGGCAGAUGCUUGGUCAGUGAGUGGCCAGCUCCAGCCUGGGGCACGAGUGCUGCCCACAAUCCUUCCAGAGGGAGCCAUGGAACAGCCAAGCUUGGAUCAGCUGCUGCUAUCACACUGGGCUGCUGGGGAGAAAACACUUUCCCGCUUCUGAAGAGCCUCUUUGUUUCUCUCCCAGCCACAAUCUGAGAUCUGGCUUGCAUGAGACAAAGUCUCUCCAGGAAUUUUGGACUCCCAGUGAAAAACUUCUGUUUGAUCAUAAAUAAAGCUCAAGAAGCCUUAUUCAUCAAAAAGAGAAACUUUGUUCUGGCUGCAGAAUAUACUGAGACUCCUGCAGGCUGGAACAACUUAAAAUCCCCUUUGCAGUUGGGACAGCUGGGAAUUGAUCCCCAGGGGGGGAAAUCUAGAGACGACAUGAACUGUGAAGUAUUUUAGGAUGUAAUUAUAAUAUUGUCCAAUGAAUAUCUAGAGAGACAGACUGUGCUGACAGUAGGAGUUUGGGACACCUCCCAGCCCUUAUCGAACAUGCAAUGUGAGUGCAGAUGCUGUCUCUCUGCUAUGAAUCCCACAGCUCUCCAUGGAGGAGCAUCAUUUUGCAUUAAGAUGUCUCUGUGUGGGUCAGAAGUUCAGCAUCUCUGCAAGAUGAGCCCUUCUUCCCCAAGGUUUGAGUGCUGAGCAGGACUCCAUUUGAUAUGGGAUUUCCCUGGGUCAGUGGGAGUCAGCUGUGGUGGCUGCAUCCCCUCUCAAUUUCUUGUGCAUCCCCAGCCAAGUCACCCAUGGUGUGAGAGACAGAAAAUGCCUUGACUCUGCCUAAGUGCUGCACAGCAGCAACAAAAACAUCCUCAUGUUAUCAACACAGUUUUCAGCACAAAUCCAAGACACAGCUCCUGUGAAGAGAAUUCGCUCUGUCCCAGCCAAACCCAGCACACUGCUCUGGAUCGACAGCCACUGACAUCACUCCCCUGGCUGCUCUCUGGCCACAUCUCUUAUUUUUAAGUGCUGGAUAAAGGGCUAUAGCAAAUAUUGCAAAUAAGGAUAAAUAUUUCCAGUAAAAAUUAGCUGUAAUUACAUA
Molecule: long non-coding RNA, 1574 nt
Organism: Parus major (Great Tit)
Lineage: Eukaryota; Metazoa; Chordata; Aves; Passeriformes; Paridae
Exons: 2
Source: RefSeq, a predicted model, not a curated record